Molecule: long non-coding RNA, 342 nt
Filed under: Manacus vitellinus (golden-collared manakin)
Lineage: Eukaryota; Metazoa; Chordata; Aves; Passeriformes; Pipridae
Description: lncRNA (ENSMVIG00005009670.1)
Source: RNAcentral
GCCAUGAUCACCUUCCAAUUCCAAAAACUGAAUCAAGCAUAGGGGUGGAAACUCCUAUUCACCUGCAAAGGUGAAUAGCAGGCUUUUGAAGAGAAACUCCAUAGAAGCAGCAACAUUUUUAGAGCACAAGAACUGAAGAUAGAGGGAGCUGUGUGAAGUACAUGAAAUGAAAGGAAUGCAAAUAAAGUUAUAAAUAGGAAGCCUGUCAAGAAAAAAGGAGGUGACAUUGAGAACUUCUUGGAUGAUUUGAAUAUUCAAAUCCAUCGUGCAGGGGAAUACAGUCCACGCUGAUUACAUUUAUCAUUAAAUCAGCGGAGCAAAUUCUAAGAAAAUAAUGUGAAU